This 429-nucleotide ribosomal RNA is filed under the name Gemmatimonadota bacterium. RNAcentral's name for it is "Gemmatimonadetes bacterium partial 16S ribosomal RNA". It matches the Rfam family "Bacterial small subunit ribosomal RNA", at positions 355 to 776 of the family's 1533-position model. The record is from RNAcentral. Lineage: Bacteria; Pseudomonadati; Gemmatimonadota.
UAGGGAAUCUUCGGCAAUGGACGAAAGUCUGACCGAGCAACGCCGCGUGAGUGAAGAAGGUUUUCGGAUCGUAAAACUCUGUUGUUAGAGAAGAACAAGGACGUUAGUAACUGAACGUCCCCUGACGGUAUCUAACCAGAAAGCCAGGGCUAACUACGUGCCAGCAGCCGCGGUAAUACGUAGGUGGCAAGCGGUGUCCGGAUUUAUUGGGCGUAAAGCGAGCGCAGGCGGUUUCUUAAGUCUGAUGUGAAAGCCCCCGGCUCAACCGGGGAGGGUCAUUGGAAACUAGUAGACUUGAGUGCAGAAGAGGAGAGUGGAAUUCCAUGUGUAGCGGUGAGAUGCGUAGAUAUAUGGAGGAACACCAGUGGCGGAGGCGGCUCUCUGGUCUGUAACUGGCGCUGAGGCACGGAAGCGUGGGGAGCAAACAGG